AGAGUUUGAUCCUGGCUCAGGACGAACGCUGGCGGCGUGCCUAAUACAUGCAAGUAGGACGCACAGUCUAUACCGUAGCUUGCUACACCAUAGGCUGUGAGUUGCGAACGGGUGAGUAACGCGUAGGUAACCUGCCUAUUAGAGGGGGAUAACUAUUGGAAACGAUAGCUAAUACCGCAUAACAGUAUGUAACACAUGUUAGAUGCUUGAAAGAUGCAAUUGCAUCGCUAGUAGAUGGACCUGCGUUGUAUUAGCUAGUAGGUAGGGUAAAGGCCUACCUAGGCAACGAUACAUAGCCGACCUGAGAGGGUGAUCGGCCACACUGGGACUGAGACACGGCCCAGACUCCUACGGGAGGCAGCAGUAGGGAAUCUUCGGCAAUGGGGGGAACCCUGACCGAGCAACGCCGCGUGAGUGAAGAAGGUUUUCGGAUCGUAAAGCUCUGUUGUUAAGGAAGAACGAGUGUGAGAAUGGAAAGUUCAUACUGUGACGGUACUUAACCAGAAAGGGACGGCUAACUACGUGCCAGCAGCCGCGGU
Molecule: ribosomal RNA, 539 nt
Filed under: uncultured Streptococcus sp.
Lineage: Bacteria; Bacillati; Bacillota; Bacilli; Lactobacillales; Streptococcaceae
Description: bacterial SSU rRNA
Rfam family: Bacterial small subunit ribosomal RNA
Source: RNAcentral